Molecule: ribosomal RNA, 449 nt
Filed under: uncultured bacterium
Lineage: Bacteria
Description: bacterial SSU rRNA
Rfam family: Bacterial small subunit ribosomal RNA
Source: RNAcentral
UCCAGACUCCUACGGGAGGCAGCAGUCGGGAAUAUUGCGCAAUGGAGGCAACUCUGACGCAGUGACGCCGCGUAUAGGAAGAAGGUUUUCGGAUUGUAAUCUAUUGUCCACAGGGAAGAUACAAGACUGUACCUGUGAAGAAAGCUCCGGCUAACUACGUGCCAGCAGCCGCGGUAAUACGUAGGGAGCAAGCGUUAUCCGGAAUUAUUGGGUGUAAAGGGAGCGUAGACGGCAGUGCAAGUCUGGAGUGAAAGGCGGGGGCUCAACCCCCGGACUGCUCUGGAAACUGUACGGCUGGAGUGCAGGAGAGGUAAGUGGAAUUCCUAGUGUAGCGGUGAAAUGCGUAGAUAUUAGGAGGAACACCAGUGGCGAAGGCGGCUUACUGGACUGUAACUGACGUUGAGGCUCGAAAGCGUGGGGAGCAAACAGGAUUAGAUACCCUCGUAGUC